This 274-nucleotide ribosomal RNA is filed under the name uncultured bacterium. Its description in RNAcentral is "partial 16S ribosomal RNA". It matches the Rfam family "Bacterial small subunit ribosomal RNA", at positions 523 to 796 of the family's 1533-position model. The record is from RNAcentral.
AUACGGAGGGUGCAAGCGUUACUCGGAAUCACUGGGCGUAAAGCGCGCGCAGGCGGCUAUUUAAGUUGGAUGUGAAAGCCUACGGCUCAACCGUAGAACUGCAUCCAAAACUAUUUAGCUAGAGUGUGGGAGAGGAAGAUGGAAUUAGUUGUGUAGGGGUAAAAUCCGUAGAGAUAACUAGGAAUACCAAAAGCGAAGGCAAUCUUCUGGAACACUACUGACGCUGAGGCGCGAAAGCGUGGGGAGCAAACAGGAUGAGAAACCCUAGUAGUCC